UACUCGAUGAACAACCAACUUGGAUAACUGUAGGAAUUCUAGAGCUAAUACAUGCAAAGAAUCUGGACCGGUGGCGACAUCGGAAAGGAUGCCUUUACUUGAAUUUUAGAAACCAAUUGGGGUAAAACCCAUAACCUUGUUGAUGAUUCAGAGUAAUUUUAGCAGACCGAAGACUUUUUGUUUUCGGCGAUUUGAAAGAGAUUCUGCCCUAUCAACUUUCAACCGUAGUCUAGUGGACUACGGUGGUGGUAACGGGUACGGGGAAUUAGGGUUCGAUUCCGGAGAGGGAGCCUGAGAAACGGCUCCCACUUCCAAGGAAGGCAGCAGGCGCGUAAAUUAUCCAAUCCUGAUACGGGGAGAUAGUGACAAGAAAUACCGAUGUAGAGGUUUUAAAGCUUCUACUAUUGGAAUGAGAACAGCGUAAACUCCAUAGCGAGGAACUAUUGGAGGGCAAGUCUGGUGCCAGCAGCCGCGGUAAUUCCAGCUCCAAGAGUGUAUAUUAGAGUUGUUGCGGUUAAAAGGCUCGUAGUUGAACUUAGGACGAAAGCGAUUCGGAUCCCGGCGUUAAAACCGGAACAAGGUUCGGCGACUUUCCGUCUUUCUUUUUUCCGUGGAACGUUUAAGGGAGAUCUUCGAUUUCCCUGUUUCACGGAGGUUUACCUUGAAUGAAUUAGAGUGUUCAAAGCAGACGUAAUCGUCUCGAAUAUUUUAGCAUGGGAUAAUCGAAUAUGACAAGAUGUCAAUUCGCUUUGUUGGUUUCUAGGCAAUCUUUGUAAUGACGAAUAGAAACGGUCGAGGUCGCUUGUAUACUGUGGUGAGAGGUGAAAUUCUAAGACCCGCAGAGGACAAACAAAUGCGAAGGCAUUCGACAAGGAUGUUUUCAUUAAUCAAGAACGAAAGUUGAGGGAUCGAAGAUGAUCAGAUACCGUCGUAGUCUCAACCGUAAACCAUGCAGACUCGGGAUCGGGGGAAGUUACAUGGAUGACUCUUCCGGCACCGUAGAGCGAAAGCAUAAGUAUUCGUGCUCCGGGGGGAGUAUGGUCGCAAGACUGAAACUUAAAGGAAUUGACGGAAGGACACCACCAGGCGUGGAAUCUGCGGCUUAAUUUGACUCAACACGGGAAAACUCACCCGAACCGGAUGCCGAAAGGAUUGACAGACUGAAAGCUCUUUCUUGAUUCUGUAGAAGCCGGUGCAUGGCCGUUUUUAGUUGGUGGAGUGAUUUGUCUGCUUAAGUGCGAUAACGAACGAGACCCCAAUAGGUUAAAUAGACGAAGGAACAGGAGGAUUUUUGGAGGACGUCUCUGGAUCGAAAGGUUCGGGGAUUCUUCCGUGAAGUCUUCGUUCGGUUGUUCUUUAAAGUCUUCUUAGAUAGACACCCCGCGAUAAAAAUAGGGGGGGGAAGCGUGGGGCAAAAACAGGUCUGUGAUGCCGCUCGAUGCUCGGGGCUGCACGCGCACUACACUGACGUGUUCAGCGAGUAAGAAUUUCUUUUAAAUCGUCCUAGCGCGAAGGCGCGUAGGCAAUCUGGGAAAGCACGUCGUGACCGGGAUCGUGCAUUGAAACUAUUGCACGUA
This 1577-nucleotide ribosomal RNA is filed under the name uncultured Hartmannellidae. RNAcentral's name for it is "partial 18S ribosomal RNA". It matches the Rfam family "Eukaryotic small subunit ribosomal RNA", at positions 118 to 1601 of the family's 1831-position model. The record is from RNAcentral. Lineage: Eukaryota; Tubulinea; Elardia; Euamoebida; Hartmannellidae.